This 373-nucleotide ribosomal RNA is filed under the name uncultured organism. Its description in RNAcentral is "partial 16S ribosomal RNA". It matches the Rfam family "Bacterial small subunit ribosomal RNA", at positions 527 to 897 of the family's 1533-position model. The record is from RNAcentral.
GUAGGUGGCAAGCGUUGUCCGGAAUUAUUGGGCGUAAAGCGCGCGCAGGCGGUUCUUUAAGUCUGAUGUGAAAGCCCACGGCUCAACCGUGGAGGGUCAUUGGAAACUGGAGAACUUGAGUACAGAAGAGGAAAGCGGAAUUCCACGUGUAGCGGUGAAAUGCGUAGAGAUGUGGAGGAACACCAGUGGCGAAGGCGGCUUUCUGGUCUGUAACUGACGCUGAGGCGCGAAAGCGUGGGGGAGCAAACAGGAUUAGAUACCCUGGUAGUCCACGCCGUAAACGAUGAGUGCUAAGUGUUAGGGGGUUUCCGCCCCUUAGUGCUGCAGCUAACGCAUUAAGCACUCCGCCCUGGGAGUACGGCCGCAAGGCUGA